ACUGGCAGGGAAGAUUGGGUGGAGAGAGCAGGGCUGGAGUCCUCACAAUGCAGUCCAUGCGGCAACAUGUUUUUUUAUAUUAGACUCCCUGUCGCUGCCUGCAGGGUCUGUAAGGUGUGCACAGGUGGAGGAGAACACUGUGGCCGUAAGCUGCUGUUCGCAGACACAUUUACACUCACUUAUUUGUUGUCCCGCCCCAGCUCUACAUAUCCUGGUCUCCUCCUCUCCCCCUCUUUCUAAUAGCUGGCUGCCUGGUAGAUCGUGGGAAUGGGGUGGAUCAAAAGGAUAAGACUCCACCCCCCUGUGUGAUCCCUCUUCUAGAUCCACCUCCUGUUUGCUCCAUCCUAUCACUGAGAGACUGAGUGCAAGCUCUGCCUCCAGACUGUUUGAUUGUCCAGGACAGGGAUGGCAGCUGCAGCCUCUGCACUUUGGCAUUGAGUGCUCUGUGAAAAAAGAAGUGCCUGACUAACAAAGGAGGAUAUCAAGUUAAUUAUCACUCGGCACACAACAUUUGGUGAAGCAGAUAGACGCCAUGUACAAAGUUGUAAAAAAACUUUCCCCAAAGGAGAGGUUACUGCUGAGAGACAGAAAUAACCUGCCAAGAUCUUGUAUCUGGAAGGAUAAAAUAUGAAGAAUGGCCUCCUGAAUAGAUGAUGUAAUAAAAAUGUUAAGAAGAAACAUUGUUUGCAAUAAAACUGUUAUACUGCGA
Pseudophryne corroboree (corroboree frog) is the source of this 709-nucleotide long non-coding RNA. RefSeq lists it as uncharacterized. The transcript is spliced from 2 exons. The record is from RefSeq and is a predicted model, not a curated record. Lineage: Eukaryota; Metazoa; Chordata; Amphibia; Anura; Myobatrachidae.